UACAGAGGCCUCGAGCGUUAGGCGGAAUCACUGGGCUUAAAGCGUGUGUAGGCGGACUUCUAAGUGCCUUGUGAAAUCCCACGGCUCACCCGUGGAAUUGCUGGGCAUACUGGGAGUCUUGAGCCACCUAGGGGCGAGCGGAACAAAUGGUGGAGCGGUGAAAUGCGUAGAUAUCAUUUGGAACGCCAACGGAGAAAUCAGCUCGCUGGGGGUGUGCUGACGCUGAGACACGAAAGCCAGGGGAGCGAACGGG
This 253-nucleotide ribosomal RNA is filed under the name uncultured bacterium. Its description in RNAcentral is "partial 16S ribosomal RNA". It matches the Rfam family "Bacterial small subunit ribosomal RNA", at positions 524 to 776 of the family's 1533-position model. The record is from RNAcentral.